RNAcentral lists this long non-coding RNA (36935 nucleotides) under Citrus sinensis (sweet orange). RNAcentral's name for it is "long non-coding RNA (CSIN_LNC001940)". The record is from RNAcentral. Lineage: Eukaryota; Viridiplantae; Streptophyta; Magnoliopsida; Sapindales; Rutaceae.
CAGUUAACAAGCAUACAUCUCUCUUUAUAAACCUAUCUUCUCCCCUUUCCUUUUCUUACCGUUCCAAAGCUUUUGCCAAACAAACCAGAUGAACGAUAUGCUCUUCAAAAUACUUAAAAACCAGUGAAAGCUAUUGAAUGGAGAGUCUAUUUGAAUUAUUCAAAUGCUUCAGCGCGUUUCAUAUUGAUUAUGAAACAAAAGUGUGGCCUCUUCUUAUUAGUAUAGAAGAGAGAUCAAGGUAUUUGAAUUACGUCGGAUUAGUGAUUUACCAGAAUGUUUCCGUUGAAGCUACGCAUCGGUAUUUCUUUAAUCUUAAAUUUUCUUUCUCAUUAAGUGUGAAUUUCAAGUACUACCAAUCAUGUUUGACAAAAUAUAUAUACAUUGUAAUAGGGAAAUAAAUAUUUAUAUUAUUUCUGCGAAGAUCAACGAAUGCGGCGGACACGAGAAGGUAUUCUGCGUAAUUAUAUUCUCUCUUUAUUGAUUAAAAAAGUGAUUUUUUCUUUGUUUUGGAAAAUUCUUCUCUGUUUUUUUAAAACAUGAUCGCAUAAUUAUUUUCUCUGUUCUGGGAUCAGGGAACGAGAACACCAUAAUUUGCAUAAUUAUUAACAUAUUUUUAUUGUUUUGCCUUUGCCAAAUGCAUUCGAUUGCAGGUACUAUACGACGAGAAACGGGACUGUCCUUCGUUCUUGUGGAAUCAGCUCGAUUCAUUUUCAUACUAGGGAUCAAAUCUUUGAUUCGCCACUGCUGGAAUGGCUUGAACGGAUGAACUUUGUCACACAGUGUGCAUUCAAGCUGCAGCAUAUAUAUCUUCUCCUGGGGGCUUGUGUCACCAAGGACUUGGGUAAUCUGACGGCGCUUGGAAACAUCAAUGUGUUAUAAUUGAUUAAUUCCGUCAUCAAAUUAUUCUCAAUGUGGGUAAAUCCAUACUUGUUGAUCCACAUUGGGACAAGUUCAGGGACCGCUGGAAUUACAAGGUUUUCCACAUUGAGCUUGCGAAGAGCCUGAAAAUUAGAUUCGCAUAUCCGCACUGGCCGUUGCACUGGCGGUUUGAAUUACAAGAUUUUCAACAUUAAGCUUACCAGGAGCCUGAAAGUCGAUCAGAUUCGCAUUAGAACUUGUUCCAGGCAGACAUAUAUUGAAAUGAAAAAUAUGAUACAUACAGCUGAUUAUUAGUAGCUUCAGCACCAGCACUUGUAGAUUCGAUUUGGGCGAAUAGUUUCGGCGUCAUUGUUCCUUUGUAAACCCAUGGACCCUGUAAAAUUGAAGUGAUGAAUACUCCCAAGUUAAAUGAAAACUGGUUGUUGUAAAAUAUAUAUGUACUUGAUUGAUUAUAGGAGAACACACAUAAUGAAGUGAUGAAUACUCCCAAGUUUUUGUUAAACUGAACCGAUUAGUUCACAAAAACUAAAAUAAAAAUAAUUUCAUAAAAAAAUAAUCUAAAUAAAUCAGCUCGAUUCCACUUUACUUCCCCAGAUUAUUGUAUUCAAUUGAAAUAUUUGUUGAAAAGUAUAUUUAGAUUAUCACUGUAGUAUUGCGUGUGUUUAUCAAUUAUAUUUUCAUGAAUAUGUUUUAAAAAUAAUCUAACCAUUAAAACAUAGUUAAGCUGGCAGAUUGAAUUAACCAUAAUUUUUAUCUUUAUUUUAUCUUAUACGUUUACAUUAUUGGUUUCCUAUAUUUCAUUAUUAAUGUUUCUCAAAGCGAAAAUCAUAUUUAAAUUAUAAUAAUUUAAUAUAAAUUAUUAGUUUAGCGAAAUUGGGCUUGGGGAUUAAAAGGAAAAAAUUGGGAGAUCGAAUGACAAAGUUAAUCUCUUAACCAAUAACAAUAACCGUUCAUGCAAUCUUUGAGAAAAUAUAAAAUUAAUUGCUAUUUUAAUUAAUGUUUUCAUAAAAUAAAUAAUUAAUGAACAUUAGCAAUUUUUAUAUACACACAUACUUACAUAGAAACUAAAUGAGGGGCCUGUGGAACGCAUCCAAAGGUCAUAAUUUGCUGCACAUAGCGGACAGCAGCAUGUGUAGCAAAUAAAUGAAUAAAUAAAAUAAGGUAAAGGUCAAUCUAACGCCCUAAUCCAAUUCCAGAGCUUAGUUAUAGUUCAGAAUCCUGGACUGAAAAUUCACUACAUGUAUUAUUUCAAACAGUGAUUGAAAGGAAACGGUGAUUCAUAUUAUCUAGGAUAUUUAAAAGGAGGCCAUCACUUUAAAAUUUGAACAUGCAAGGGAUAUUAUUCGGCUUUUCAAGUACCGAUCUCCAAGAAUCACUGGCCAUUAACCUCUAGGAAGGCCAAAAAAGCUUAGAAUUUGUAGAUCUUGAAUUCUUCUCAUUCUCAAGCAAUCGACAUAAAAAAUUGUAAUUAAUAGUGAAAAAAAAUGGUUGUUAUGUAAUCAAAGGUAAACAUUAAGAAAUAAUUUGGUAGCAAUGGAGGUUCCUAAUAAGAUUUAGUGGUCAAAGAAAAUUUUGUUUAGAUUGCACAUGGCCAAGGGUGGAAAAUGAGAAUAAGUAAGAAGGAGUAAGAAAAUAAGAACGAGAAAGUACAAUUAGUAGACGGGUAAGAAGAAUAUAUAGAGGCGGUGGAUAUGAAAUAUUGAAAGCGCAAGACAUGAGGCAAAUAGCGUGAAAAUCGCAAGCGAAAGAAGAAUAUUGUUUUUGGAUUUCUUCCCCCAAAAACCAUUCGUUUUCCACUACGCACAACAUUUGAAAAUGUAAUUGCGUUAAAAAAAAUGUAUAAUAAGAAUUUAUAAAUUUAUUUUGUACAAAUUAAUAUGAUGUACCUAUAUCGGUUAAAGUAAAUCUUGUGGAACAUAAACAAUAUUGUCAUGCCUAGUGACAUAACUAGACUUUAAACCCAACAAGGGUAAAUGUAAUUUACAUAAAGAAUUUGAUUUUCCUCAAGUGUUAUUAGAUAAUUUUAGAAUUAAUAUACUCAUUUAAGAUGAUUUUGAUGACGAAAUUAUAAUUUUGAGCCCUUUUUUUUGUAUAUUAUUCAAGUUGGUAGGGAGAUAAAAUUUUUAGUUGAAAUAAAAAAUAAAAUUUUUAUGAAAAAAUUAAUUCGGCCACUAUUUAUGGCACGAUAAUUCGUAUAAAAUAAAUUUAAAUAAGAAUUUAUAAUUUAGUCGCUGCCAUUAAUAUGUAACCUCAUGAUGGACUUGAACUUGUUUGUUAGUUUAUACUCUAUUAUCUUCAUUAUAGCUAUAGGUCUAUAUUAUAUGAAUUUCAUUACUGAGUUUUAUCUAAAAACUCGAAACGACAUUUAUGAACAUGAUUUUAAGAAGUCACGCUCUAGUUUUCGUAAGUAGCUCGGUUCAUUAAUUUGUAACAGUAACUAAUAAGGCCCUCUUGACAUAUUAAAAAAACUGAUUGGCUAUUAUCUUAUAAUGGUAGCUAGGUUACAGGCAUUUGGUCAAAUGUUAGAAACAAUGCAAUUUUAAAAAGCCAACGGGAUUCCAACACCCCCCAGCCCAAAAAAAUCCCCCAAAAAAAAAAGCCGAUGGUAAAAAGUCAUCAUCAAUUUUAUGUUUUGAACUCCUUAAUCUGUAAUGAAUUUUAAUUUUCCAUCUGUCUUGCGUAAUUAAUUUAAUUAUUACACACAUUAAGAUCAAGGUAACAUUUAUUUUAUGUGUAGUAAAUGACUUUUCAAUGUUUUGUUCUUUGUGUUCUUCACUCAAAAUUGUUCAAAACAGUAAUAGUAAUGGACAUAAAAUUACUGAUACGGCAAUUGCUUACUAAUCUGAUUUAAAUUCUUGUGUGCAGUACUACAAUUAUAGAGUGAAGAUGAUAAAUUUUUAUCAUAAUAGAUGUAGUCAACAAUGUGACAGUAUAACAAAGUACUGUUAAUCAAUACCAAUUUUCUUUGUUAUUUAUCAUGACAUUUCUCAAUGUGUACUAUGAGUUUAUAUCCCAAUUUUAUAAGUGUAUAAUUUUUUAGUUCUUAAAAAUAGACAUUUAAUUAAUAAGACACCCUGGUUUGAUUCAUAUACGCAUAUUCUGAUACUUACCAAAAAAAAAAAUCUGUAUGUCUAAUUUUUAGUCCUAACAUUGAUUGGCUAGUUGUUUCUGACAUUUUUGCCUAUAUAUAAAAUUCUCCUUAUAAGGAAAGAAAUCUAAUAAUAUUAUUAUCUUUAUCCUUAUUUAGUUAUGGCAUAAAAGAGUUUAAUCGUGGUAGUAUUGUUCUUAUGCGUCUACUCUUUUGCAUAGUUGUCUUUGUUAUUAUUUUGGUAAUCUAUUAAAAGAAUCUAAUUGAAUACUAUUUAUUUACCUUAGGAUUCUCUGGCUAUUAAUUUUCUCUUAUUUGUUUGCUUUCUCUCUCUCUCUCUCUCUCUCUCUCUUUUCAAAAUUCCAUAUUUAGAUCUUUCAUUAAAGAAUAAAUAGUAUAAACAAUGAAAUACUAGAAAGUGUGAUGAUAGAGUUACAAAUGCUUGUAAAAGUUUAUUUUAUACAAAUUGAUGUGGUAUAAAUUUGUUGGUUUGAUGAAAAUACAAAAUAAUGAAAAUAAAUUUGAUAUGUACGAUGUCAAUUAUACCUUCUGUACUCAUUAAAAAUUAUUUUUUUAUAUUAAAAGGUUAUGUUUUUCGAAGAAUAUUUAUUAUAUAUAUUGGUCAGUUGCUUCUAUUUUGUUAUAACAACGAUAUGUUAGAUUUAUAUUAGUUUAUUGCAUAUAGUUUAGAUCAAUUUGGUUGUUACAAAUAUAUUAAAAAGAAAUUUUUAUCAAACUGGUUAGAACCAUUAUAUAUGUUGACUUUGUGAUUCUUAAGAUAUGAAAACAUGAGGAUUAUACAAAUGAUAAAAGUCUACAAUGAUUCCAAUUAAGGAAACACAUAAUAGAUUUAUUCCUGUCCACAAUCCAAAACAAAUCUUAUUAUUAUUAUUUUUUCACUUGACAAAUAUUUUGUAUAUUCUUUAUUAUGUCUCCUUUUUUUUUUUUUGCUGAUUUUCAUUUCUUCUUUAAGUUGGUGAUUCCUGGAGCUGCUGCAUAUUCGUGAUUUGCGAGAUGAUGUUUAAUUCAGAGAUUUCCUCGUUUGGGAAUGUUACAGCUCUUGUGUAGCAUUUUGACUUUACCGAAUAAGAGACACUUCGUGAUCGUAUUGAUUUCUUGAUGUUUUUAACAUGCAUGGGACAGCUACAUUAUUAGCUUAUCUUAAGAUCCUUUUCAUUGACAAGUUCAUUGGAAAUGCUUCCCAUUUCACCCCAAAUUCUAAUUAUUCGCCUAAAAUAAGAAGAAGAAAGCUUGAUAGUGAAUCUUAUCAUUAAUCAAAUCAAGGAAAAAAAUACCUAUAACACAAUGAAGAGCACUACUUAGCUACUCAGUGAUCCAUUUAACUGCAGAAGCCAGUUUCUUAAAUUUUACUUAAUGGUAUAGUCCAAAUGAGUAAAGAAACAAAGCUAAUUAAUUGUGUUGUAUAUAAGAGGACAAACAUGACUAACAAAUGUGUUGCUUAUGAACAUCAAGUUUAUGGUUUGUUAUUUUAAAUAUAAGAUUAUAUUUAAAGAGAUUCCAUUUGUCGGAACCCGUGAAUAGCUCGGAAGCGGAGACUACAAAGGAAUAAUGAAUAUAAGAGAACAUACGGAUCUUUAGAAACUUGAUAAAGCUUAUUUAUUUUUAAAAUGUUGUUUGCUGGGACUAACAUCAACAAAAGUUUGUGUAUUCUUCUUUCUUACGUCAAAAAAAAAUAAAAAAUUGGAGUUGGAUUGUGGACCAGAUGUUAGUAUGUGAUGUAAUGAUUUAUUUCCUUUGAUAGGCUUUACAAGUCGGCUAGUGUUGACACCAGGCUUCAACAGAACCACGUAAAAUGUGUUGGCUCUACAAGUAAGUUAGAAAGUCAUUCAGUAGGUUAUUUUUAAGCUUGGCUUAAAAAUAAUCCAAUUGUUAAAAUUCUCAAAAUUGCUUAUAAUAAUUUUUUUUUAAUUUUUUUUUCAAUUAUAGAAAAAAAACUUUAUCAUUACAGACGGCCUCUGUUGGAAAAUGCUAUUUAAAAACAAGAAAACAUAUUUUUAUAACAUAUUAUGAAAAUAUAAAAUAAAAAAGAAAAUUACAAAAGUUAAAUCAAAUCAACGAUUAUUUUCGUCACUAUAAAGUUUUUUUUGUUGUUGUUGUAAUAACUAUCCCCUUAGAUAUUUAAUAAAUAGCAGCAACUUUAACCAGCUUCCUGUGGUUAACUUUAUUUGAUAAUAAGUGAAAAACUACGCAAAAUAUUAGCUAGACAAUAUCUAAGUGAAGAGGAAGUCUAAUCACAGUGAGUAAAGAUCAAGAGGAAGUCGGGGCUUAGGAACAACAAGAAGUGGAUUUUUUCUGGACGUUCUGCCACCAAAUCUUUCUUCCAUAUCUAAAUCUUCUUUCUUCAUAUCACCAGGCAAUUUCCAUUCAAAACCAUGCAAAAGAUUUGCCAAAGUUGACUGAACUAUUUUUAGCCCUAGUGCAUAACCAACGCACAUCCGCCUCCCAGAUCCAAAUGGCAAAAGCUCAAAAUUAUGGCCUACAACAUCAAUCUCUUUGCCGACGAAUCUCUCCGGACAAAACUCAUUAGGUUUCUCCCAGAGGGUUGGAUCUCUUCCGAUUGCCCAUACAUUAACAAUUACACGAGAGUUUUUGAGAAUGUUAGAGCCAGCUACUUUGCAAUUUUCUCUAGCUUUGUGAGGAGCAAGCAAUGUUAGCGGAGGGUGGAGACGCAUGACUUCUUUAACAAUUGCUUGUAUGUAUGGAAGGUUAACAAUGUCUUUUUCUUCUACCCAUUUGUUUCUUCCAAUUACUCUAUCUAGCUCAUCGGUUGCCUUUUGGAUAACUUCUGGAUUUUUUAAGAGCUCUGACAUUGUCCACUCUAAGGUGACCGCUGAGGUUUCAAUUCCACCAACUAAAAGAUCCUGAAAAUCAUCAAAAUAAUAAAAAGAAUAAUAUGAUUCAGAUUUUUAGUGCAAAAGACACUUGGAUAGUUUUAUUCAUGAUGUUUGCUUUUGUAGGACAAUGAACUAUUACUAAAAAGUUAAAAUCAUUAUAAACAAAAUUUCUUUUCAUUUCAAUGUGUGUGUGUGUGAUAUUAGUAUUCGUAUUAGUACAGUAUGCUCAAAAAUUACUAUUUGGAUUUUUAUAUUUAUACUUUUUUCUUCAGAAAACAAAAUAUUUCAUGAAUGAAAAUCAUAUUCAUUUUCUUUAUCUAUGUGCGUGUGGGUAGGGUUCUUUUCUGAAACAAAUAUGAAAUUAAGUAUAUUUGCACAUACAAUUUAAUUACCUGCAUUGAUGCCUUAAUGUGAUCUCUUUCAAGCUUGACUUCGAGAGUAGGAUCAUCAGCAAGCUGCAACAAAACAUCGACAAUAUCAUUGGUCCCAUGUUCCUUAAACAAUUUCCUCUUACCAUGGCGCUCGUGCUCAUGCAAAACAUGCUCGUAAAAUUUAUCAAUCUUCUUCUUCACAGCCUUCAUUCUCUUAAUAUUCCCUUGUAAAUCUAAGAAAGCAAGCCAUGGAAUUGCAUCUCCUAUAUCUAAAACACCAGGAAGCAAGAAUAGUUCAUCUACGAUCUCUGUGAACUGUUUUGGAGUUACAAUAUUGUUUUCAUCUUCCUCAGUAUACCUUUUCCCGAACAGCAUCCGGCUCAUAAUGGCAAGAUUAAACAUGAAAAGACGCUCUUUCAAAUGAACAGGAGUGGAAGAAGAAGAAGAAGACGAUGUUGAUGAUUUGUACAAUUUAAAUAAUAAUGCUUUUCUUUCCUCUAUCCUGAUGUACUCAAAUUGUGCUAAACUCUUUGGGCUAAGAAGUUGCGUCAUGUAAAUUUUACGAGUUUGGCGCCAAUGUGGACCAUAUGGUGCACCAGGCAUAACCAGAUAAUUGUAGUUUGCGUGUUUCCAUGCAAGAAGUGGUGGUCUACUAGCAAAAGUAACAUCAUGAGUUUUUAGUAAAAGUUCUGCUACUUCAGCUGAUGAGCCUACCACCACGGUUUCUAAACCGAAUUUGAGUUGCAUAAGGGGGCCAUAUUUUUGGGAGAGAGAUUGGAGGGAGACAUGAAGGUGUUGGCCGAUGAGGUUGAGGUUUCCGAUGAGGUGCCAUGGCUUUGGACCCGGUGGCGGCAACAAGUUAAUCUUAUUGCGAGAAAUAUGGCGGUAAUAUAACAAGAGGAGGACAGGCAGGAAAAAGGCAAGGAUUGAGUACCACAUAGUCGAGUUUGAAGGGUUAUCAGCUGUAGCACUACUAGCAGGAUCCUCCAUAUUUAAUAUAUUAAAUAAAAUCAAAAUCAGCAGUGCUAGAUUCAAAUUCUUAUUAUAUGUAUAAGGAUUGAUGAUGAUUUGAAUUAUGUUUAUGAAAUGGAAGUGAGAGAGGUAUUUAUAUCUAACGAUAGAACAACAGCCAUGAGCCAACCAACUAGAGAAAAUUACAAUUGAAUAAUUGAAUAAUUGAAUUUUAUAUUGAUUUGAUUUGAAAUUGACAGGUUAUCUUGCGGAAAAUUGUCCGGUUACUUCUUGUUGAUUAUAACAUUAUUGAUGCCAAGAUUACUUAAAACAAUCCACGGAACGUAUAGAGUGUUGAAAAGUCAAGCAUACAAUUGUUGAGUAAUUGCAUGAGAUAGUUAGCAUGCGAUUGUUGAGAGACAGCUAUCAUCCAAAUUUUGACUACAAUUGCAUGAGAAAGUUGGCAUCGAUUGCGAAGUUUGUCAAUUUAGUAAAUUGAAGACAAAUUGAAAUAGUGUGGUAGGUGAGCAAUGCUCUCUGUAAAUAGAAGGACCAUUCUUCAUUUGUUGCAUCCCAACUGUGAGAAUUGAGAGCAUAGUAAGUGAAGCAAUUUGAGAGAUUUGAGAGAGUUUCUACUUGAGUGUUCUAGUGAGAAUUCAAUUAGGUGUAUUAGGAUUGUGGGUUUUGAGAGUUUUUCCCACUUUUGUAAAUUUCCAUUUGUUAGUAAAAUCAUCUUCCAGUCUUUAUCUGUCGACGUAGGCUUUACGUCGAACCACGUAAAUUAUUGUGUUAUAUUUUUUUUGCAUUUAUUUGUCACAUUUAUAUUUCUCCAGAAGUUGCAGUCACCAUAAUAUUAGUAAUUGCUCAACCUGCGCUUUUGCAACAUAAAGAAGGUAAUAAACAAUUUUUUUAGUAUUGAUAAUGAAGUAUUCUGCAUCAUUUUCAAAAUACGACAACAAUUCAAAAGCAAUAGCAUUGAUAUUGAUUGAUAUUACAAGGGAUGAUAAUAGAGAGAAGGGGAAGAGAUCCACCUCCUCAACUAUUUCUCCUUAAUAAUUAUUUGUCAAGAAAGGUGGCUAAAUGGCUGCCAAAUUCUAGAAAUAGAAAUCUUUGAAAGCCAACCAAUCUAGAAGUUAUAAAUGUUGAAUUAGACAUAUGGUGGUGUUGCAGUAAACUUUGAAAAGAAAAAAAAAAUUAUUUCAAUAGCCAAUUUUGGCUAUAAAAGAGGGAGUUCCCUAUCGGCUUUGUGCAUUCAUUUAUGAGAAGUAAUUCCAUUUAGAGAGCAGAGAAUUUUGAGAACUUAAAUUAGAAAACUCUUGAAGUUUAGUGAUUUGAGAUAUUGGGUGUAUUGGGUUAUGGGUAAUGAGCAAAAAAUAUUACAAUACUUAUAAUUCUCAUUUCACUAGUAAAAUUUUAUCUUUCUAUUUUCGCCCAUGGAUGUAGGCUAAAAAUCCAAACCACAUAAAUUUCUGUGUCCUUUUUGUGUGCCUAUUCUUUAUUUUUCUUCUAAUUUUAAUUUAGUUGUAGUCCUGCUUCACCCAUCAAAUUUUUGAUAGUAGUAUCAAAGCUACUGGUUGUAUUUUAUGGAGUCAGGGGGUAUUAUUCACGUAUACGGUACUGUUCACGUGAAAUAAUGAGAAUCGAUCUUAGUAAAAGCAGUUCAUAGUGAAAGCAAUGGCGGCAAAAUAAGAAAUUGAGAAGUUCAACAGAAACAACUUCUUGUUAUGGAAAAUGAAAAUUGAAGGCUAUUUUGAGGAAAAACAAUUGCUUGACAGCAAUUAGAGAAAGACUUGGAGAAAUCACUGAUGACAAGCGGAAUACGAUGGACGACAAUGCAAUUUCUGAUCUACACUUGGCACUUGCAGAUGAAGUGUUAUCUAGUGUGGUAGAAGAAAAGACAUUAAAUGAAAUAUGAGAUACUUUCAUGAAACUGUACGAGGCCAGAUCGCUAUACAACAAGAUUUUUUUAAAGAGGAGACUUUAUACUAUUCGAAUGGUGGACACCACAUCGGUGACCGACCAUAUCAACACUCUGAAGACUUUAUUUUCGUAACUCACAACGUUGAGUCAUAAAAUAGAGGAAAAUGAACGUGCGUAGCUUUUACUUCAAAGUCUACUAGAUUCGUAUGAUCAACUUAUCAUUAAUCUGACGAACAAUAACCAAGCAGACAGUCUAGUCUUUAACGAUGUUGCAGUCGCUGUAUUAAAUGAAGAAAUAGGCAGAAAAGUAAAUGUUGUGCCAAAGACUAGUAAAUAACUGAUAACGGCACACCAAGAUCCACUCAAAGAAGGGUUCUUGUAUCUAAAACUAAGGUGAUCUUUACGCAGUUACAGGAUGCUUAAACAAUCCAACAACCAAAGCAAAUCAAUGAAAGAAUUUAAGAACAGAAAGAAUGACACAAAGAAAGCUUAUAGUGGUUCGGCUAUGGAAGCAAAUCAAUCAACAGCUUCCCGCCCUAAUUAACGGCUUAACAGACUUCUGAUAAGCCUCCAAGACACGUGUCUUCAUCUUGUUUCUUCUAAGUGAUAAAACGACAGUUCAAGCAAUCGUUUCUUUUAAGUGAAUCACAUGCGAAGUCACAUGUCUUCCUUGCACACACAGAUGACAUGAUAUUCUUGUCAUAUAGCCUUCUCAGGACUUUCAACUGACAUGUUAUAGUAUUGACAAAUCUUCAACCGACUUGUCGCACUUGACUAUAAACUAAUUUGUAGUUCAUAUUCAAUAGUAAAUAAGACAGAUAUGCGAGUUCGUAGCAAGCAGAGGUGCUAUCGAUGAGGAAAGGAAGAUCAACGAAACGUGGCCCUAGUGGGAGUCACAAUCAUGGUAGAUUAAAAUCAAGAAGUAAGAAGAAUGUCAAAUGCUACAAUUAUGGCAAGAAAGGGCAUAUAAAGAAAGAGUGUUGGAGUAACUAGAAAAGAAAAAAAAAAGGGUAAAGAUCCUAAGUCAUCAAAUGCUUAGGGGUGUGUAACAAGUAUCUCAAAUGAUGACAAAAUUCUCUAUAGCGAGGAAACAACUGUUACAGAAGGUUGGAAGCAGUUAGUUGAUAUCUAGUUUAUAAACUCAGAAGCAACAUGGCACAUGACUUCUUAGAGAGAAUAGUUCCAUAAAUAUGAACAUAUCUUAAGAGGAUCAGUGUACAUGGGUGAUAAUCAUGCCUUGAAAAUCACUAGUAUUAAUACCGUCAAAAUAAAAAUGUUUGAUGGUACAGUUCGCACAAUUAAUAAGGUACGACAUGUCAAGGGUUUAAAGAAAAAUCUCGUCUUUGGAACAAAUAGAUAGUCUUAGGUGCAAAACGUAUGUUAAAAAUGUGAUCAUGAAAAUUGCUAGAUGUGCGCCUAUAUUAAUGAAGGUGGAAAAGAUUAGUGUUAUAUUCCUUACAGUUACUGAUGAAACUCCAAUAGAACUUUGGUACUUCUCAAAUCUACUAACUGGUUUCUAUUGAGAGUUUUCAGAGAAUAGUGUAUUCUGGUUUAUAAACAUGUUUAUAAACAUGUGGCUCAUUACCUUUAGUGCUCAUAAGUAGAUAACAGUAUUUUGAAGAUGUUUAUGUUGGGAUCUUGGUUGUCUUUAAAAUUAGGAAGGAUGAUUUUCUUAAUGGUCUAUGUGUUGAAUAUGUUCAUAUGACUUUUUUAGUUGGGUUUUUAUUGAUAGACAUUUUUUAUUUGCUUCAGCAUGUGGAGUUACUUAUUACUGUAUAAUUCUACUUUGCAUCUUUGAUGAAUAGGAUGUUUCAGAGCUUUUUGAUAUUGUCUAGAGACUAAUUUAUGCUUAUACUGCAUUUCUUUUUCUUAUAAUAUCUUAUACCUUAAUCCAUAUAGUCUUUCUUUCCUCUCAACUCUUACCCAAUAAUUGAAUCAUUCUUUUUUGCACUUGAAGCCUAUGGCGAUAGAACAAGUAACGUCCAAUGAAGAUAGUGAGGAUGAAGUUGAUGAUGACAUUGCAGAUUUUGAAGAUCGGCGGGUAUGCGUGUAGAUUUGGUUGCUAUGUUUUGGUUCUUUCCUACGAUAAGAUUAUUGUUAGGCUAACAAAAAUUGCUUUCUUUUUGCCUUCCAAGUUAUGUGAAAUUAAUUUAAAUAUUUGAAGUAAUAUUUUGUAUUCUGUCAAGAAGGGUUUACUCCCCAACUCCUUUGCAUUCUUCUACAUUGAGAAAGCAAUGCGUUCUGAGGAAAGGACAUAGAGUAGGGCAUUAUAUUCUCUUAACUGCAGAGGCAUGGGGAUCAAUCUUUGAAGGAUCACUGUAAGAGUGUGUAAUGAGAGCAUGAAGAGUUCAAGUCAUUAUAACGAGUUUCUUAUGCUUAAUCUCACUAUGACAAGUAUUUACUGGCUUUGAGGAAAUUGGAUUGAAUUAGAAGAUAAGAACACCAUAUAGGUGGCUGUCUCUUCUUCUUACCUGUCAAACAAUAAUUUGGUCCUGUUUACUUCUGGCUUAUUGUUAUUUCUUGUAUGCUUUAUCAAGUUUCUAAAUAUUUAUCCCUUAUAUUUUGCCAUCAUAGAAUUAAUUCAACUAUGACUGUUUCAUGGUUGCUUUUGGCUUAGUUCUGUGGAACAGUAAGUGUAACCGGUUUCAGCUUCACCUCCUCAACACAUCCGUUUCCCCUUCCUUGUGUGCUCUCUGUCCCAGAUCUUGAACUGUUGAUUUUGAGGUUUUGUCUCAAAUAAAAUCAAAGAACCAGAAGAGUGAUUACAAUUUAUGCAAAUAUUAUAUCCAGAUUUCUGAUGCCUAACAAAGCUUAAGUUGGACUCUUAUAUGAAAUGUUUUCAUUUUAUGCUGUUAGGAACCUGGAAACAUUAUAUUAAAUUGGCAUGUUGCAGAUGCUUGAUGAUUUUGUGGAUGUUAGCAAAGAUGAGAAGCAGCUGAUGCAUCUUUGGAACUCCUUUGUCAGAAAGCAACGGUAGUUAUUGUUUCCCACUUAAAGCUUUCAAUUUUAUUUUUUUUGGGUCGCCCCAGUUCCAUAUAUUCUUUGUUUGUUUCCUUCAAUUCUUUUAUGUCAAGAUGUUUAGGAAAUUAAUGUAUAGGAGGUGAACUAUCUUAUGCAUUUUUCAUGCGAAAAAGAAAGGAAAAAAGAAAUAUCUUAGAAGGGUAUAUCCCACUGUGACAGGGUCCUGGCUGAUGGUCAUGUUCCUUGGGCAUGUGAAGCAUUUUCCAAACGUCAUGGACGGGAGCUUGUCCUCUCUCCAGCUCUAUUUUGGUGUUGGAGGCUGUUCAUGAUAAAACUGUGGAAUCAUGGCCUUCUUGAUGGCUGCACAAUGAAUAAUUGUAAUAUGAUUCUUGAAAAAUGUCGAGAUGAGGAAUCAGAUACUGGGAAAAGCUGAAGAGGACAGACUAACAAUCUCGGCUCGUGGGAGUGCAGAAAUAAGACAGUGCCUGUAACAUUGGUUCUUCUGUUACUCAAUUCUUCCUGAUAUCCUUUAACACAUUUUUUCAACACAUUUUUUCUACUUGUAUCAGUAGAUUGUAGAUGGAGUAAUUAAUUCUUUCGCAUACAAAGAAGUCAGCUGUAGUGAAUCGGCCAACUUGUCACUGUUGUUAGCUCAUUAUUCACUAUUAAGUGUUAUUGACACGAUAAUCGCCAUUUAUGAUUUACUCUUACGGAGGCAACUUAGGCGCCAAUCUAGUUGCUAAGAGUCAAUUGUAAAUGUUGGAGAGGGUCGCUGCUGUAGAUUGAUAUGUUAUAUAGCUCGAUAUGUUUAAGUGAAACUUGAUUUGAUCUUAUUCUGAGUACUGAUUGGGAAGUUGUCUCUGUAUCUAUUAAAAUAUUGAAGAGCAAAGUCGCGCAAGCUUUCAAUGAGAAGGAUGCGGCAGUGCUUAGACAUUGCUUGUGUUCAGUUCUGCGAAAGAAACUCAGGUAUGGCAAAAGAUGUCUUAAUGGUUUUAUAAACUAAGGCAACUAUGCUAAUAACCAACUAUGCCAUACUCACACUAAUAACCAACUAUGCUACAGCAUUCCAAUGGAGACCUCAGAUGCACAAGCUCAAGAUUCAUUUGCCUCUGCGAUCCGUAAAGCUGUGCACAAAGGGCAAAGAAAUAUGAAAGAAGAAAACUUCUUCUGGAUCUCUAGAAAACCUAAUCGCAAAUCUUUAUCCACUAAUAACGCAAAUAAAAUUGUUAGCUAUUGACUACAAGAGGAUGAUUUGUUGUUAAAGUGAAAAUUGAUGUCGAGUAAAGGAAAAAUUCCCGAAUAUUUCCUGUGUGGAUACCCUCUCUCUUGAUUAAAUGAGAGCAGCACAUUCUGCUUUCUAGUCCUCAUCUUAAUUAUAAAAUAUUUUCUUCUUCAAUUUAAAGAAGCCACAAGCACCAGGCACUAGCGGAUUCAAUUUUUGCCAAAUUUUCUUUGGUACGAAAAGGAGCUGAAACAGAGCAUUGACCUUGGUUAACAUAGAAACCCAAAUUAAAUAAAUGCAUAAGAUAGUAUACAAAUACUAAUAAUAAAGAAUCAAAUCAUGCUAUCGUAAGUCAUAACCAAUUCUUAUUAUUUUUGACACGUUAAUUUUCCAUGUUUAUCACCUGGACGUUUCCCCCCCUUAUUUACUCAGAUUUACAGUGUUCAGCCGUAAAAAAUCUGGAAUCUUGAAGCAUAACAAGUAACGGACAACUAGCUUAUCAUUUACAGUCAUUUAAUUAGUAACAAUAAAAUUGCAUAAUUCUGCCCUUGUGUAUGUGCUUAAAGGAUUGUUCGCACCCCUAUGGUGUAUUAAUGGGCUUAAUAAAAUUAGUAGUCCGUUAUAUUUGUACAAAGAAGAUAUGGUACCCAUUUUAAAAGAUUAUUUAAGAUACCCCUAAGAAUUUCGUCUUUUUAAAUUCUUGACAUGCAUACCUUUAUUUUUUUUUUUUUUUAAGUUUCAAACGCUGCUCAGGCGCUCAUCAAGAAUCAAUGGUCGUCUUAGAUCUAAAAUAUUGAAAAAAUAUCAUGAGUAGCAUGGGAUUGAAUAUUCUUACGUAGGGUAAAAGUUUAAAAAAUCCUCCAUCGUUGAAAUAUUGACAUUCUUAUUGUUAUUUUUUUUUUGAUUUAUUUUUAUAAUAUUAUUAUUUUUAAAUAAUAUUUCUUUUUAAGACAUUAUUAAAAAAAAAUAGAUUAUCGAUUUAUCCCCAAAAUAAAACAAAAACAAAAAGAAUAUAUGUUAAUUUUUGUGAUUAAUAUAUAGAGAAAAGCCUGUUAGAUGAUGUCCCUUUCAAGCUUGGGAUUUCUAUUCACAAAAAAAAAAAAAAGUUUGGGGUUUCUAUAUUUUGGCCCUUGCCGCACCACUUCCUGAAUGGCGUAUGACGAACUUGUUCUUUCUUACAUCAUUUCCAUUCAAGCAUCGUCAUCUUCUUUAGGGGGUUCAAGGUUCAAGUCAAAAAAUGCAAGCUUUUCGUAGCCUUUUCCUCGAACCAGCCCAGUACCAUUCUUAUUUGCCUCAUCAGUCUUCGUAGCUGUACAUAAAAGAGCAAAGAAAUUGAAAGAAGUGUGUCAAAUACAGAUGAUGAAACAGUGCCGGAGCUUGAAAAUUUAUGAAAAUAGAGAAAGACCUGCGCUAGCUGCGGCGUGUGUUACCAAGGACUUGUGUAAUCUGACGGCGGCUGGAAACAUCAAUGUGUUAUACUUGAUUAAUUCCCUCAUCAAAUUACUCUCAAUGUGGGUAAAUCCAUACUUGUUGAUCCACAUUGGGACAAGUUCAGGGACCGAUGGAAUUACAAGGUUUUCCACAUUGAGCAUACGAAGAGCCUGAAAAUUAGAUUCGCAUGAGAGGUUGUUCCAAGCUUUAGAAGGUCAAAAGCCAAUAUCAAACAGACUAAGCAGAAGGUUAUUCAGCCCAAUGAAAUGAACAAUAUGACACAGUGCCAGCUGGGUAGUAGCUUAAGGCAUCAGCACUUACCAAUUCUUAUUAUUUUUGAUACGUUAAUUUUCCAUGUUUAUCACCUGGACUUUUCCCCCCCUUAUUUACUCAGAUUUACAGUGUUCAGCCGUAAAAAAUCUGGAAUCUUGAAGCAUAACAAGUAACGGACAACUAGCUUAUCAUUUACAGUCAUUUAAUUAGUAACAAUAAAAUUGCAUAAUUCUGCCCUUGUGUAUGUGCUUAAUGGAUUGUUCGCAGCCCUACGGUGUAUUAAUGGGCUUAAAAAAAUUAGUAGUCCGUUAUAUUUUUUUUUUUUUUUUUAAGUUUCAUACGCUACUUAGGCGCUCAUCAAGAAUCAAUGGUCGUCUUAGAUCUAAAAUAUUGAAAAAAUAUCAUGAAUAGCAUGCGAUUGAAUAUUCUUACAUCGGCAAUCAACGGGUAAAAGUUUAAAAAAUCCUCAUUGUUGAAAUAUUGACAUUCUUAUUGUUAUUUUUUUUUAAUAAUAUUAUCUUCUUAAAAUAAUAUUUCUUUUUUAAGACAUUAUUAAAAAAAAUAGAUUAUCAAUUUAUCUCCAAAAUAAAACAAAAACAAAAAGAAUAUAUGUUAAUUUUUGUGAUUAAUAUGUAGAGAAAAGCCUGUUAGAUGAUGUCCCUUUCAAGUUUGGGAUUUCUAUUCACAAAAAAAAAAAAAAGUUUGGGGUUUCUAUAUUUUGGCCCUUGCCGCACCACUUCCUGAAUGGCGUAUGACGAACUUGUUCUUUCUUACAUCAUUUCCAUUCAAGCAUCGUCAUCUUCUUUAGGGGGUUCAAGGUUCAAGUCAAAAAAUGCAAGCUUUUCGUAGCCUUUUCCUCGAACCAGCCCAGUACCAUUCUUAUUUGCCUCAUCAGACUUCGUAGCUGUAAAUAAAAGAGCAAAGAAAUUGAAAGAAGUGUGUCAAAUACAGAUGAUGAAACAGUGCCGGAGCUUGAAAAUUUAUGAAAAUAGAGAAAGACCUGCGCUAGCUGCGGCGUGUGUUACCAAGGACUUGUGUAAUCUGACGGCGGCUGGAAACAUCAAUGUGUUAUACUUGAUUAAUUCCCUCAUCAAAUUACUCUCAAUGUGGGUAAAUCCAUACUUGUUGAUCCACAUUGGGACAAGUUCAGGGACCGAUGGAAUUACAAGGUUUUCCACAUUGAGCAUACGAAGAGCCUGUAAAAUUAGAUUCGCAUGAGGUCAAAUGCCAAUAUCAAACAGACUAAGCAGAAGGUUAUUCAGCACAAUGAAAUGAACAAUAUGACACAGUGCCAGCUGGGUAGUAGCUUAAGGCAUCAGCACUUACUGAUUCAAUUUGGGCCAACAGUUUCUGCAGCAUUCUUCUUCCCCUGAAUCUUUCACGGGUUCCGAUAAAUGGCAUCUCGGCAAACUUUGUCCCAUGUACUCUGUACAAAUGAAGUGAACACUCCAAGUUAAACGAAAGCAUGUAGUUGCAAAACGCAUGUAUGUAUGGUACUGGAUCAUACCAGAACACAUGAAAUGCCAGUAGCAAUUAUACCUUAUUGAUGCCACGGAGAUAAAUUCAUCAUUCCUCUCCAGUAUAGCGGUGUAAAAACCUCUAAAAUUUACCCGCCUCAGGUUAGACCUGAAAGAGAGAAUUUAGAAGAAGGAAAAGGCUAUGUGUAUGCAUUUUCUUGAAUGAACAAGAGUGACAGAAAGAUUUAACGGAAGGAUCUAAAGCGCUUACUCCCGAUUGUAGAUGACACUUUGAGUGAUGUUAAUACCAGUGUAGCGGUCAAUAACUGGCAUGAAAAUUUCUUCCAUGACCGUCCAUGCUACAGAAACUUUUGAGUUGCCUACUGUAAUCUCAUGCAAAAACUCCCCAUUCGAAUGUGGGUCCCGAUCUAGCUUCAUCUGGACAAGACUCCAAGUAUAUCCAUCAGCAAGCUCUUUUCGGACUCCCAAAUGCUUCUCUUGGAUCUCCGAGAAAACCUGUUCACAAAUUCCUUUUCGAAAUUAAAGCAUACAUGCAUGCAUUAAGGUUUUUUAAUUAAAAAAAAAAAAGAAUGCCCAUGAAUGUGUGUAAUAAAGAAUUCACAAAUACCUCUUCACAACUCUUCCCACAAAAUUUGGUUGGUGAAUCAGGACUAGACGGUUGUCUUGAAGAAUUAAUACAGUCCAGGUGAUCUGUAUCAAGAAUAUAAGUUAGAACUUAGAACUUCGGCACUAUCCAAAUAGUACUAUUUCAAAAUGUGCUUUCUAAUGAUGUACUGUCAAUUAAUUUCCACAUUGAAAUUUUAUGUGUGUUAGUGAGUAAAGAAGCAGUUCUCUUUCUUUUACAUCAGCUAGGUAGCUCAAUUACUGCCCUUAUCACAAAGAAAUUAAGCAAGUGUAAAACCUUACAUCUCCUUUGACAUUGUUUGCAUUCGUGCAAAUCACCUGGCCCGCCAGUACCACAAAAUUUGCAAAUGCAGAAAGGACACAGCCAUUCUCCUUGCGGUAUUUUCUGCAUUCACUCCAAUUUCUUAAGAUUUUGCAACUAUAUAUGCAAAAUAAUAAUAAUACCAACAAUAAAUGAGCAAAAUCCAACCUUCAUGCCCAUGCAAUCUGGAUGAAAAGUAGAGGGACAUUUCUCACAACAAAUCAAGUCACCCCCAUCAGCGCAAAUCAUACAGGCAUCAUCAUUCAAGUCAGAAGCAUCUUUCCGAGGCUCAACAAGGUUAAAUUCACAGCGUGCCAGUUCUUCCGGGCGCAGUAACCCCUUGUAAUAAAUCCAACCCAAGAGAUGACAUCCCCAAUCCACUAAGUAGAUGUGGGCAUAUGGCUCCUUAACAUGACCUUCGUUGGCAUGUUCUUCAAACCCGUACACAGUAAUCACCUUAUGACAGCAAUUACAACGCACACCGUCUCUCUUAAUGGUUCCUUCUAUAAUCUUUUCUUUAUCGCGGAUGUACCAAACUCUCAUAUCUUCGAAAAUGAUCCCCAGGUCUAUCAUCCAUGAUAGUAUUGUCCUUUUCUUGGAAAACACUCCCCUGUUGCUCUUGUUUGAUGCACCUGGCCUUCGACGCAGUAUCCUUCUUCUUCUUGUUGCAACAACACCAUUAUUCCUUCUCGAACUUCCAACCUCAGUAGCCUGGUUUGGAUUAUUAAUGCACGUGUUUAUAUUGAAGUCCUUUCGAGAGCUCCUUUGAUAACUUGUUCCAGCUACGUAGUCAGGAUCAGAAUAUCUGGAAUCAUAAUCCUGGCUUUCUGAUGAGCAGCUUGAUACUUCUAAAAUUCUCUUCUGUUUCCUCUUCCUCAUAUUGCUAAUUUGGUUACUGUAAAAAUAUAACUGAAACAUAGACAAAAGUAAAUGCCGGUGUAGAAUGCUAAUAAAUUAAUAAAAAUAUCAAAUCAUGCCUAUGAUUUUUUGUGUGUAUAUAUAUAUAUGUAACACUCAAAUCAAACUCGAAAUCAUGCAUAUAUUUCUGAUACGUUUCCAUUUUAAUUUCCUUCUUUGUUUAGAUUAGCAGUUUUUAUCUGGAAUCUAGAAGCAUAAGUACAUAACUAGUAAAAAAAGAACAGCUAGCUUCUCAUUUACAUUGAUUUAGUAACUAUUUAUGUAAUUGCAUAAUUCUCCUUUUGUGUUUGUGCUUUCUUGUGAAUAGUGGAAAUUCCAUGCUAUUUCGUAAUUGCAAGAAUGAUUAACUCAAUAGCGAUUACAAACAAAUCUUAGAUUAGUCAAAAUAAUUCCAUGCUGCUGUGAAAACAUUUUUAUGCGUAAGUGACUAGAAACACCUAUUCAGAUUUAUACUACAUUACCUUUAAAUUCAUGCAUUAGACUCACAUUACUACAAAAAUUAAUCAAAGUAAAUAAAAAUAAGAUGUUUAUUAUAACAAUAAUGUUUGGGAUCAAUAUUAUAAUAAAAAUAAGAUGUUUUUUAUAAAAAUUAAUCAACAUUUGAUUCCCAACUUGAGUGUCAAUGUUAUGUAUCAUUUAUCUAUUGGAUGAUGAAUUUCAUUGCUAGUAAAAUUACUUAAUCACCAUCUAAUGGAUGAAUACCACAUUAGUUGGGAUUCAGAGAAAUUCUAGAAUACAUCAGAGGUAUCAUGUUAGCCAUACAACAAGUAAAUAAUGUUAUGACAUGUGUGCAUUUAGUUUGAAAAACCAUCAUGCAAAUGGUGAUUAUAUUAAAUUCAACUACACAUAGCAUGCAUGCAUCAAUUGAUUGUAAUGCAUCAGAGGUAUUUUAAAAUUUCUCCAGAUUGGGACUUAUGACGUGGGACAUCUAGCAUUGCGCUCUUAUUAAAAUAAUCAUUAUGAAAGGACUCGAUAACUAGCUUAUAGAAAUGAACCAAACCGAACAGAACCGGUUUAUCCUGUUUUGGGGAAAAUCUAAAAUUUCAACUUUAAUUGUGGCUUUCAUAAAGUAAAUUAACAUUAUCAGUUCAUACAUAACACAUACUCACACACACACACACAUUCAUAUAUAUAUAUAUAUAUAUAAUAUCUGAAAUAGCGAUUUUCUAGAAAUAUUACCUAAGAUAUUUUUAAGGUGGCCACCACUUUAAAUUCUCAAAAUGCAAGCAUUUUCUUCUGCAUUUGAACUACGGAUCGUCAAGAAUGAUUUAAAAUUUGCAGAUCUAGAAAAUCUUCUCAUACACAAAGAAUCGGUAUACUAAAUUUUAAACAGUGAAAAAAGUAGUUCUUUAAUGAAAAAUAAAAAAUGAAUAAAUUAUUUGAUGGCAGUGAAGAAAAUUUUAUUUAGAUUGCGAGUGGCUAAAGGGUGGACAACGAGAAUAAGUAAGAGGGAAUCAGAAAAUGAGAGAGAGAAAGUGCAAGAAAACGAGUAGAUGAGUAAGAAAAAUGUAUAUAGAGUAGAUGUGAAAGAGAAAGAAGAAUAUAUAUAGAGUAGAUGCGAAAGAGAAAGACACGAGGCAAUAGCGUGUAAAUCGCAUGCAAGUCUAUUUGUCUUUGUGGCAUUGAAUUUGAAAUAAAUUUCAUGGAAAGUGUUGAAUUAGAUUUUUGCAUUUCUUUCCUAAAAGAAAUUGUAAAAAUAGUGGUAGAAUCACAAAUUUUUAUACAAACUGACGUGGCACAAUCAUAUUAGUUAGACAUACAACAAGUAAAUAAUGUUAUGAUAUGUGUGCAUUUAGUUUGAAAAACCAUCAUGCAAAUGGUGAUUAUAUUAAAUUCAACUACACAUAGCAUGCAUGCAUCAAUUGAUUGUAAUGCAUCAGAGGUAUUUUAAAAUUUCUCCAGAUUGGGACUUAUGACGUGGGACAUCUAGCAUUGCUCCUAUUAAAAUAAUCAUUAUGAAAGUACUCGAUAACUAGCUUAUAGAAAUGAACCAAACCGAACAGAACCGGUUUAUCCUGUUUUGGGGAAAAUCUAAAAUUUCAACUUUAAUUGUGGCUUUCAUAAAGUAAAUUAACAUUAUCAGUUCAUACAUAACACAUACUCACACACACACACACAUUCAUAUAUAUAUAUAUAUAUAUAAUAUCUGAAAUAGCGAUUUUCUAGAAAUAUUACCUAAGAUAUUUUUAAGGUGGCCACCACUUUAAAUUCUCAAAAUGCAAGCAUUUUCUUCUGCAUUUGAACUACGGAUCGUCAAGAAUGAUUUAAAAUUUGCAGAUCUAGAAAAUCUUCUCAUACACAAAGAAUCGGUAUACUAAAUUUUAAACAGUGAAAAAAGUAGUUCUUUAAUGAAAAAUAAAAAAUGAAUAAAUUAUUUGAUGGCAGUGAAGAAAAUUUUAUUUAGAUUGCGAGUGGCUAAAGGGUGGACAACGAGAAUAAGUAAGAGGGAAUCAGAAAAUGAGAGAGAGAAAGUGCAAGAAAACGAGUAGAUGAGUAAGAAAAAUGUAUAUAGAGUAGAUGUGAAAGAGAAAGAAGAAUAUAUAUAGAGUAGAUGCGAAAGAGAAAGACACGAGGCAAUAGCGUGUAAAUCGCAUGCAAGUCUAUUUGUCUUUGUGGCAUUGAAUUUGAAAUAAAUUUCAUGGAAAGUGUUGAAUUAGAUUUUUGCAUUUCUUUCCUAAAAGAAAUUGUAAAAAUAGUGGUAGAAUCACAAAUUUUUAUACAAACUGACGUGGCACAAUCAUAUUAGUUAGACAUACAACAAGUAAAUAAUGUUAUGAUAUGUGUGCAUUUAGUUUGAAAAACCAUCAUGCAAAUGGUGAUUAUAUUAAAUUCAACUACACAUAGCAUGCAUGCAUCAAUUGAUUGUAAUGCAUCAGAGGUAUUUUAAAAUUUCUCCAGAUUGGGACUUAUGACGUGGGACAUCUAGCAUUGCUCCUAUUAAAAUAAUCAUUAUGAAAGUACUCGAUAACUAGCUUAUAGAAAUGAACCAAACCGAACAGAACCGGUUUAUCCUGUUUUGGGGAAAAUCUAAAAUUUCAACUUUAAUUGUGGCUUUCAUAAAGUAAAUUAACAUUAUCAGUUCAUACAUAACACAUACUCACACACACACACACAUUCAUAUAUAUAUAUAUAUAUAUAAUAUCUGAAAUAGCGAUUUUCUAGAAAUAUUACCUAAGAUAUUUUUAAGGUGGCCACCACUUUAAAUUCUCAAAAUGCAAGCAUUUUCUUCUGCAUUUGAACUACGGAUCGUCAAGAAUGAUUUAAAAUUUGCAGAUCUAGAAAAUCUUCUCAUACACAAAGAAUCGGUAUACUAAAUUUUAAACAGUGAAAAAAGUAGUUCUUUAAUGAAAAAUAAAAAAUGAAUAAAUUAUUUGAUGGCAGUGAAGAAAAUUUUAUUUAGAUUGCGAGUGGCUAAAGGGUGGACAACGAGAAUAAGUAAGAGGGAAUCAGAAAAUGAGAGAGAGAAAGUGCAAGAAAACGAGUAGAUGAGUAAGAAAAAUGUAUAUAGAGUAGAUGUGAAAGAGAAAGAAGAAUAUAUAUAGAGUAGAUGCGAAAGAGAAAGACACGAGGCAAUAGCGUGUAAAUCGCAUGCAAGUCUAUUUGUCUUUGUGGCAUUGAAUUUGAAAUAAAUUUCAUGGAAAGUGUUGAAUUAGAUUUUUGCAUUUCUUUCCUAAAAGAAAUUGUAAAAAUAGUGGUAGAAUCACAAAUUUUUAUACAAACUGACGUGGCACAAUCAUAUUAGUUAGACAUACAACAAGUAAAUAAUGUUAUGAUAUGUGUGCAUUUAGUUUGAAAAACCAUCAUGCAAAUGGUGAUUAUAUUAAAUUCAACUACACAUAGCAUGCAUGCAUCAAUUGAUUGUAAUGCAUCAGAGGUAUUUUAAAAUUUCUCCAGAUUGGGACUUAUGACGUGGGACAUCUAGCAUUGCUCCUAUUAAAAUAAUCAUUAUGAAAGUACUCGAUAACUAGCUUAUAGAAAUGAACCAAACCGAACAGAACCGGUUUAUCCUGUUUUGGGGAAAAUCUAAAAUUUCAACUUUAAUUGUGGCUUUCAUAAAGUAAAUUAACAUUAUCAGUUCAUACAUAACACAUACUCACACACACACACACAUUCAUAUAUAUAUAUAUAUAUAUAAUAUCUGAAAUAGCGAUUUUCUAGAAAUAUUACCUAAGAUAUUUUUAAGGUGGCCACCACUUUAAAUUCUCAAAAUGCAAGCAUUUUCUUCUGCAUUUGAACUACGGAUCGUCAAGAAUGAUUUAAAAUUUGCAGAUCUAGAAAAUCUUCUCAUACACAAAGAAUCGGUAUACUAAAUUUUAAACAGUGAAAAAAGUAGUUCUUUAAUGAAAAAUAAAAAAUGAAUAAAUUAUUUGAUGGCAGUGAAGAAAAUUUUAUUUAGAUUGCGAGUGGCUAAAGGGUGGACAACGAGAAUAAGUAAGAGGGAAUCAGAAAAUGAGAGAGAGAAAGUGCAAGAAAACGAGUAGAUGAGUAAGAAAAAUGUAUAUAGAGUAGAUGUGAAAGAGAAAGAAGAAUAUAUAUAGAGUAGAUGCGAAAGAGAAAGACACGAGGCAAUAGCGUGUAAAUCGCAUGCAAGUCUAUUUGUCUUUGUGGCAUUGAAUUUGAAAUAAAUUUCAUGGAAAGUGUUGAAUUAGAUUUUUGCAUUUCUUUCCUAAAAGAAAUUGUAAAAAUAGUGGUAGAAUCACAAAUUUUUAUACAAACUGACGUGGCACAAUCAUAUUAGUUAGACAUACAACAAGUAAAUAAUGUUAUGAUAUGUGUGCAUUUAGUUUGAAAAACCAUCAUGCAAAUGGUGAUUAUAUUAAAUUCAACUACACAUAGCAUGCAUGCAUCAAUUGAUUGUAAUGCAUCAGAGGUAUUUUAAAAUUUCUCCAGAUUGGGACUUAUGACGUGGGACAUCUAGCAUUGCUCCUAUUAAAAUAAUCAUUAUGAAAGUACUCGAUAACUAGCUUAUAGAAAUGAACCAAACCGAACAGAACCGGUUUAUCCUGUUUUGGGGAAAAUCUAAAAUUUCAACUUUAAUUGUGGCUUUCAUAAAGUAAAUUAACAUUAUCAGUUCAUACAUAACACAUACUCACACACACACACACAUUCAUAUAUAUAUAUAUAUAUAUAAUAUCUGAAAUAGCGAUUUUCUAGAAAUAUUACCUAAGAUAUUUUUAAGGUGGCCACCACUUUAAAUUCUCAAAAUGCAAGCAUUUUCUUCUGCAUUUGAACUACGGAUCGUCAAGAAUGAUUUAAAAUUUGCAGAUCUAGAAAAUCUUCUCAUACACAAAGAAUCGGUAUACUAAAUUUUAAACAGUGAAAAAAGUAGUUCUUUAAUGAAAAAUAAAAAAUGAAUAAAUUAUUUGAUGGCAGUGAAGAAAAUUUUAUUUAGAUUGCGAGUGGCUAAAGGGUGGACAACGAGAAUAAGUAAGAGGGAAUCAGAAAAUGAGAGAGAGAAAGUGCAAGAAAACGAGUAGAUGAGUAAGAAAAAUGUAUAUAGAGUAGAUGUGAAAGAGAAAGAAGAAUAUAUAUAGAGUAGAUGCGAAAGAGAAAGACACGAGGCAAUAGCGUGUAAAUCGCAUGCAAGUCUAUUUGUCUUUGUGGCAUUGAAUUUGAAAUAUAUUUCAUGGAAAGUGUUGAAUUAGAUUUUUGCAUUUCUUUCCUAACAAAAAAUUGUAAAAAUAGUGAUAGAAUCACAAAUUUUUAUACAAACUGACGUGGAUCACAAAUUUUUAUACAAACUGACGUGGCACAAUCAUAUUAGUUAAAAUAAAUCAUGUGGACUGCGGCAUGUUUUGAUCUAAUCAAUAUCUAGUUAUGCCAUAUUAGUUUGUAUAAAAAUUUGUAGCUCCAUUAUUACUCAUAACUACAUAACCUUAAGAUGUACUUGAAGAGUUUUUUUUUUUGAAUUACAUGAGACUAUUACUCAGAUUACAACUAAUAUUUCAUACAAAUCUUAUAUAGCACUGCCCAUAUUUUACCAUUUCUAGAUUUUACAAAUCUUAUAUAGCACUUACUGCCUUCAAUCACAUUGAGAAAAGAAAUUAAACCCCUACAAUGCGUGUUUAUUAGUUAGUCUAUAACUCGUUUACAUCAUCUUCAUUAUUUAGCUCUAUAUUGAUUAUUUGUAUAUGAAUUGUUAAAUGAGUUAUAUUUAUAAAAGGACGUAUAUAAACAUGAUUUUAUGAAGUCAGGAUCUAGUUUUCGUAAUUAGCUCGGUUUAUUAAUUUGCAACUCUUACAUAUAAAAGGACUUAUGGGCAUUGUAAAUUUAUAAUGUUAGGUUACAGGCAUUGGCCAAGUGUUAAAAAUAAUAAUACAAUUUUAAAAAUCUAAUGCUACCAAAUCGCUAAGUACUAUUAGUUUUAUGUUUUUAAAGUUCUUAAUAAAGAUUUUCACUUUAUCUUCUUAAUUAAAAAUUAUAAGCUCUGGAAAGGAACCAAAAAAUAAAAGAAAAAAAAUUAACGUCAAUGUCCAUGCAAUUUGAUGGAAAUAAGUAAAGGGAAAUUCCUCAUAACAAAUCAAAUUUUCGUUAUUUAAGAUACUUAAUUAGUACAUACGUUUAGUAUUAUUUUCGUACGCAAUACAUGAUUUAGGAGUGUUUUAUUAUUUAUGUCCGUUCAAAAGUUUUCAAAACAAUGAUAAUAAUGCGCGAAAAAUACUAAUAUUGCAAAUCUCAUAAUGACGACUAACCAGAGUUCAAUUCUUAGUUGCAGCAAUACACUCACAAAAUUUAAGAUGUGAAAUUUUUAUUAUAAUUGAUUUAGUAAAUGAUCUGGCAUCAUAACAUCUUCUCAUUGUGUCACAUGAGUACGCAAAUAUUCAUAUCUUAAUUCUAUCGGUAUAUAAUUUUUUUUUAAUUCUCAGAAACAAAAAUUUAACUAAUAAAACACAUUCGUUUGAUUCAUGUACAUAUUAUUAAAUUUACCUAAAAAAAAUGAUGACAAAGUUACAAGUUUUUUUACAAAUUUAUCUUGUACAUACUGAUAUAGUUUAAAUUCAUUAGUUAAAUGAAAAUACAAAAUAAUAAAAAUAAAUCAAUGGACUAAGAGCUGUUUAAUCCAACCAAUUAAGUUAUACCACACAAUUUAUACUAGAGGUUUUUUACUCUACUUUUACUAAAAAGGAAAGAAAAUCUAUACUUUAUUUGGCUAGUAGUUUUCACCCAUAUAUAGAAUUCUCCUUGCAAGGAAAGAAAUCUAAUAUUUUUAUCAUCUUUAUCCUUAUUUAGUUUUCUUAUAAAAUAGUGUAAUUAUAAUAGUAGUGUUCUUAUCCAUCUACACUUUUGUAUAGUCAUCUCUACCCUUCUUUGGGUUCCUUUUUUAGUCUUAACAUUAAUUGGCUAGCCAUUUUUGCCCAUACCGAAUCCUCCUUGUAAGGAAAGAAAAUCCAAUAAUAUCAUCAUCUUUAUCCCUAUUUAGUUCUCUCAUGAAAGAGUUUAAAUGUACUAGUAUUAUUCUUAUCCCACAUACCCUUUUGCGCAGUUGUCUUUGUCCAUCUUUGUGUGUCUCUGAGUUGUCUCUUAUAUGUUUUUCUUUUUUAUGAGUUGAAUAUUUAGUUAUUUCAUUAAAGGGUUUGAACUAUAAAAUAUCAAACUUGCACAGAUAAAUUUUAUGUGUCACUCAUUUAUUGGUACGUCACAUUAAUUGGAAUACGAAUUAAGAUCCAAUUAUUAUUAUUAUUAUUAUUAUUAUUAUUAUUAUUAUUAUUAUUAUUAUUAUUAUACGGUGUUCUAUCAUAUCUUAUGCAAAUGAUUGCCAUUAAAUCAUUUCUUUAAAAUGCACAUUCAAGUUGUAAUAUUAGUAUUGUAAAUUUCUUGAAUGACUAUAAAAUCAUUUGGAUGCAAGUUAGUUUAUUUGGUAAAAUGUCUUGAGUGAAAAAUAAGAAUUGUGGAGUUCAAACGUCGCUCAUAUGGGUGAGAAAGUAGAGUAAUGAUAAACAUCCCAAAUUUUAUUUUAAAUGAUGUGUCAUUCAUUAAGUGGUUAAUAAUUUUUUUAUAAAAUCCAAGUGAAUUAAUUGAAUUAUCUCACCAACUAAUUGAUGAAUGCCACUUCAUUUGAAAUAGUUUUUUGGAAUAAAACAUUUAGGGUAUGUAGCAUUACUAAAAAAAGUAUUUAGUUAAUCUUAGACUCAAAAACAAAUAAUAAUAAUAAUAAUAAUAAUAAUAAUAAUAAUAAAUGGCUACACUUCACUAUAAAUUUGCCACCUACAAUCUCUCAAGUUGCAGUUAACAAGCAUAUUAUCUCUCUUUGAUAAACCUAUCUUCUCCCCUUACCUUUUCUUAUAGUUCUAAAGCUUUUGCCAAACAAACUGCAUCACAAUAUGCUCUUCAGAAUACUUAAAAAUCAGUGAAAGCUAUUGAAUGGAGAGACCAUUUGAAUUAUUCAAAUACUUCAUCCCGUUUCAUAUUGAUUAUGAAACAAAAGUGUGGCCUCUUCUUAGCAGUAGUAUAGAAGAGAGAUCAAAGUGUUUGAAUUACAUCGAAUUAGUGAUUUACCAGAAUGUUUCGGUUGAAGCCACGCAGAGGUAUUUCUCUAUCAUUCGUUUUCUUUCUCAUUAAGUUUGAAUUUCAAGCAAUAACAAUUAUGUUUGACAAAAUAUGUAUACAUUAUAAUAGGGAAAUAAAAAUUUAUAUUAUUUCUGCGAAGACCGAGGAUUGCGGCGGACACGAGAAGGUAUGCUGCAUAUUUAUUUUCUCUGUUCAUUGAUUAAAAAAGUGAUUUUUUUUGUCUUGGAUAAUAUCUUCUGUGUUUUUUCAAAACAUUAUCGCACAAUUAUCUUCUCUGUUUUGCCAUCAGGGCAAGAAAGCACCAUAAUUUGCAUUCAUAUAGACAACAAGAAGGGAUUUUUAUUAACAUAUUUUCAUUGUUUUGCCUUUGUCAAAUUCAUUCGUUUGCAGGUACUAUACGACUUCUAUAUUUUGGGAUUUCUAUAUUUUUGCCCUUGCCGCACCACUUCCUGAAUGGCGUAUGACGAACUUGUUCUUUCUUACAUCAUUUCCAAUCAAGCAUCGUCAUCUUCUUUAGGGGGUUCAAGGUUCAAGUCAAAAAAUGCAAGCUUUUCGUAGCCUUUUCCUCGAACCAGCCCAGUACCAUUCUUAUUUGCCUCAUCAGACUUCGUAGCUGUAAAUAAAAGAGCAAAGAAAUUGAAAGAAGUGUGUCAAACAGAUGAUGAAACAGUGCUGGAGCUUGAAAAUUUAUGAAAAUAGAGAAAGACCUGCGCUAGCUGCGGCGUGUGUCACCAAGGACUUGUGUAAUCUGACGGCGCUUGGAAACAUCAGUGUGUUAUAAAUGAUUAAUUCCGUCAUCAGAUUAUUCUCAAUGUGGGUAAAUCCAUACUUGUUCAUCCACAUUGGGACAAGUUAAGGGACCGAUGGAAUUACAAGGUUUUCCACAUUGAGGAUACGAAGAGCCUGAAAAUUAGAUUCGCAUACCCGCACCGGCGGUUGCACUGGCGGUUUGAAUUACAAGAUUUUCAACAUUAAGCAUACCAGGAGCCUGAAAGUCGAUCAGAUUUGCAUUAGAACUUGUUCCAGGCAGACAUAUAUUGAAAUGAAAAAUAUGACACAUACAGCUGAUUAUUAGUAGCUUCAGCACCAGCACUUACAGAUUCGAUUUGGGCGAAUAGUUUCGGCAUCAUUGUUCCUUUGUAGUCCCGGCUUCUGAACUUUUCACGGGUUCCGACAAGUGGAAUCUUCGCAAUCUAUUCUUGGUCCCAUGGACCCUGUAAAAUUGAAGUGAUGAAUACUCCCAAGUUAAAUGAAAACUAGCUGUUGUAAAAUAUGUAUGUACUGGAUUGAUUAUACGAGAACACACAGAAUGAAAUCACCUCGAUUCACAAAAACUAAAAUAAAUAAAAUUUCAUAAAAAUUUAAUCUAAAUAAAUCAGCUCGAUUCCACUUUGCUUCCCCAGUUUAUUGUAUUCAAUUGAAAUAUUUGUUGAAAAGCAUAUUUAGAUAAUCACUGUAGUAUUGCAUGUGUUUAUCAAUUAUAUUUUCAUGAAUAUACUUUAAAAAUAAUCUAACCAUUAAAACAUAGUUAAGCUGGCAGAUUGAAUUAACCAUAAUUUUUAUCUUUAUUUUAUCUUAUACGUUUACAUUAUUGGUUUCUUAUAUUUUAUUGUUAGUGUUUCUUGAAGCGAAAAUCAUAUUUAAAUUAUAAUAAUUUGAUACAAAUUAUUAGCUUAGCAAAAUUUGGUUUGGGGAUUAAAAGGAAAAAAUUGGGAGAUCGAAUGACAAAGUUAAUCUCUUAACCAAUAACAAUAACCGUUCAUGCAAUCCUUGAGAAAAUGUAAAAUUAAUUGCUACUUUAAUUAAUAUUUUCAUAAAAUAAAUAAUUAAUUAACAUUAGCAAUUUUUAUAUACACACAUGCUUACAUAGAAACUAAGGUGGCGUUUGUUUUUUAACUUAAUGACUUAAAGUGACUUAACUUAAUUAAUUAAGUUAAUUAGAGGUGUUUGUUUUUAUAACUUAAUGAGACUUUUUAGAUAAUUUUGACUUAAUAAAAUAAGCUACGUACAUCCGCCUUGGCCGUACAGCAGAAAUUUGAAUUAAGUCAAUUACUUACUAAUGUAAAAAAUAUCCAUGUUUUAUAAUUUAUUUUUCAUAUCUAUCCCAAAACUCACCCAUAGGUAUUUACCCCACAUAAAAAUAUCAUUGUUUUUUCUUUCUUAUAUUAUAUACGAUAAAAUUUAAAAUUUAUGGUAUUUUAUAUAUUAAAAUUCUAAAAUAAUUAUGUAUUCACUUGAAUAUAGUUUUACUUAUAAAUGUUAAAAUAUUGUGGUAUUUAAUAUAUUAUUUAUUUGACAUUCAAAUUUAAUAAGGAUACAAAUGUAAAAGUACAUAUUUUCAGCUUUUUAAGUUGAAAAAAACAAACAACUUAAUACUUAUUUUUCGAGAUUCAGACGAAAAAACAAACAAAUUAUUCAGAUUCAGACAUUCAGACCUAUUCAGAAUUCAGACUAAUUCAGGUCUAUUCAGAUUUCAGACAAAAAAACAAACGCCACCUAAGUGCGGAACCGGACUGGGGCCUGUGGAACAGCACCAUGCGUAGCAAAUAAGGCAGUGUUUACUUUCUGAAGUGGGAGUGUGGAGUGUGGAUUUCUCCCAUUCUAGUGUUUACUUACCUUAAAAAAGGGGGGAGUGGGAUUCUCACUCCGUGGGUCCCACCUAAUUUUGGAGUGGGGAGUGGGAAUCCACUCCCAUGCUGCUGUACNNNNNNNNNNNNNNNNNNNNNNNNNNNNNNNNNNNNNNNNNNNNNNNNNNNNNNNNNNNNNNNNNNNNNNNNNNNNNNNNNNNNNNNNNNNNNNNNNNNNNNNNNNNNNNNNNNNNNNNNNNNNNNNNNNNNNNNNNNNNNNNNNNNNNNNNNNNNNNNNNNNNNNNNNNNNNNNNNNNNNNNNNNNNNNNNNNNNNNNNNNNNNNNNNNNNNNNNNNNNNNNNNNNNNNNNNNNNNNNNNNNNNNNNNNNNNNNNNNNNNNNNNNNNNNNNNNNNNNNNNNNNNNNNNNNNNNNNNNNNNNNNNNNNNNNNNNNNNNNNNNNNNNNNNNNNNNNNNNNNNNNNNNNNNNNNNNNNNNNNNNNNNNNNNNNNNNNNNNNNNNNNNNNNNNNNNNNNNNNNNNNNNNNNNNNNNNNNNNNNNNNNNNNNNNNNNNNNNNNNNNNNNNNNNNNNNNNNNNNNNNNNNNNNNNNNNNNNNNNNNNNNNNNNNNNNNNNNNNNNNNNNNNNNNNNNNNNNNNNNNNNNNNNNNNNNNNNNNNNNNNNNNNNNNNNNNNNNNNNNNNNNNNNNNNNNNNNNNNNNNNNNNNNNNNNNNNNNNNNNNNNNNNNNNNNNNNNNNNNNNNNNNNNNNNNNNNNNNNNNNNNNNNNNNNNNNNNNNNNNNNNNNNNNNNNNNNNNNNNNNNNNNNNNNNNAACACCCUACUCCCACUCCCACUCCACACUCCUAAUCCAAGGAUUCCCACUCCAAUCCAAAAAGUAAACGCAGCAUAAAUGAAUAAAUAAAAUAAGGUAAAGAUCAAUCUAACGCCCUAAUUAAUCCAAUUCCAGAGCUUAGUUAUAGUUCAGAAUCCUGGACUGAAAAUUCACAACAUGUAUUAUUUCAAACAGUGACUGAAAGGAAACAGUGAUUCAUAUUACCUACGAUAUUUAAAAGGAGGCCACCACUUUAAAAUUUGAACAUGCAAGGGAUAUUAUUCGGCGUUUUUAUUCGGCGUUUCAAGUACCGAUCUCCAAGAAUCACCAUUAACCUCUAGCAAGACCUAAAAGACUUAGAAUUUUUAGAUCUUGAAAUCUUCUCAUUCUCAAGCAAUCAACAUAAAAAAUUGUAAUUAAUAUUGAAAAAAAAUGAUUGUUAUGUAAUCAAAGGUAAAAAUUAAGAAAUUAUUUGGUAGCAAUGGAGGUUCCUAAUAAGUUUUAGUGGUCAAAGAAAAUUUUGUUUAGAUUGCACAUGGGCAAGGGUGGAAAAUGAGAAUAAGUGAGUAAGAAAAUAAGAACGAGAAAGUACAAUUGGUAGACGGGUAAGAAGAAUAUACAGAGGCGGUACAUAUGAAAGCGAAAGACACGAGGCAAAUAGCGUGAAAAUCGCAAGCAAAAGAAGAAUAUUGUUUUUGGAUUUCUUCCCCCAAGAACCAUUCGUUUUCCACUACACACAACAUUUGAAAAUGUAAUUGCGUUAAAAAAAUAUAUAAUAAGAAUUUAUAAAUUUAUUUUGUACAAAUUGAUAUGAUGUACCUAUAUCGAUUAAAGUAAAUCAUGUGGAACAUAACCAAUAUAGUCAUGCCUAGUGACAUAGCUAGACUUUAAACCCAACAAAGGAAAAUAUAAUUUACAUAAAGAAUUUAAUUUUCCUCAAGCGUUAUUAGAUAAUUUUAGAAUUAAUAUACUCAUUUAAGGUGAUUUUGAUGACGAAAUUAUAAUUUUGAGCAUUUUUUUGUAUAUUAUUCAAGUUGGUAGGGAUUUAAAAUUUUUAUGAAAAAAUUAGUUCCACUACUAUUUAUGGCAUGAUAAUUCGUAAAAAAAUAAAUUUAUGUAAGAAUUUGUAAUGUAGUCGCUGCCAUAAAUAUGUAACCUCAUGAUGGACUUGAACUUGUUUGUUAGUUUAUACUCUAUUAUCUUCAUUAUAGCUAUAGGUCUAUAUUAUAUGAAUUUCAUUACUGAGUUUUAUCUAAAAACUCNNNNNNNNNNNNNNNNNNNNNNNNNNNNNNNNNNNNNNNNNNNNNNNNNNNNNNNNNNNNNNNNNNNNNNNNNNNNNNNNNNNNNNNNNNNNNNNNNNNNNNNNNNNNNNNNNNNNNNNNNNNNNNNNNNNNNNNNNNNNNNNNNNNNNNNNNNNNNNNNNNNNNNNNNNNNNNNNNNNNNNNNNNNNNNNNNNNNNNNNNNNNNNNNAAAAAAAAGCCAAUGGUAAAAAUCAUCAUCAAUUUUAUGUUUUGAACUCCUUAAUCUGUAAUGAAUUUUAAUUUUCCUUCUGUCUUGCGUAAUUAAUUUAAUUAUUACACACAUUAAGAUCAAGGUAACAUUACUCUUUGUUUUCAAUGUUCUUCACUCAAAAUUGUUCAAGACAGUAAUAGUAAUGGACAUAAAAUUACAGAUACGGCAAUUGCUUACUAAUCUGAUUUAAAUUCUUGUGUGCAGUACUACAAUUAUGAAGUGAAGAUGAUAAUUUUUUAUCAUAAUAGAUGUAGUCAACAAUGUGACAGUAUAACAAAGUAUUGUUAAUAAAUAUUAAUUUUCUUCGUUAUUUAUCAUGACAUUUCUCAAUGUGUACUAUGAGUUUAUAUCUCAAUUUUAUAAGUGAAUAAUUUUUUAGUUCUUAAAAUAGACAUUUAAUUAAUAAGACACCUUGGUUUGAUUCAUAUACGCAUAUUCUGAUGCUUACCAAAAAAAAAAAAAAAUUCUGUAUGUCUAAUUUCCUAACAUUGAUUGGCUAGUUGUUUAUGACAUUUUUGCCCAUAUAUAUAAUUCUCCUUAUAAGGAAAGAAAUCUAAUAAUAUUAUCAUCUUUAUCCUUGUUUAGUUAUGGCAUAAAAGAGUUUAAUUGUGGUAGUUAGUCCUAACAUUGACUGGCUAGUUGCUUUUAACAUUUUUGCCCAUAUAUAUAAUUAUCCUUGUAAGAAAAGAAAUCUAAUAAUGUUAUCAUCUUUAUCCUUAUUUAGUUAUGGCAUAAAAGAGUUUAAUCAUGGUAGUAUUGUUCUUAUAUGUCUACUCUUUUGCAUAGUUGUCUUGGUUAUUAUUUUAGUCAUCUAUUAAAAGAACCUAAUUGAAUACUAUUUAUUUACGUUAAGAUUCUCUGGCUAUUAAUUUUCUCUUAUUUGCUUGCUUUCUCUCUCUCUCUCUCUCUCUUUCAAAUUUCCAUAUUUAGAGAUACUUAAUUAGUACAUACGUGUAGUAUUAUUUUCGUAUGCAAUACCUGAUUUAGGAAUGUUUUGUUAUUUAUGUCCCUUCAAAAGUUUUCAAAACAAUAAUAAUAAUGCAUGAAAAAAUAAUAAUAUUGCAAAUCUCAUAAUGAUGACUAAUCAGAGUUCAAUUCUUAGUUGCAGUAUUACACUUACAAAUUUAAAAUGUAAAAUUUUUACUAUAAUUAAUGUAGUAAAUAAUGUGGCAUUAUAACAUCUUCUCAUUGUGUCACAUGAGUUCACAAAUUAUUAUAUCUUAAUUAUAUAAUUGUAUAAUUUUUUUUCUCAAAACUAGAAAUUUAACUAAUAAGACACAUGGUUUGAUUCAUGUACAUACCAUUACAUAUACCACCCCCCCCCCCCCCCCCCCNNNNNNNNNNNNNNNNNNNNNNNNNNNNNNAAAAAAAAGCCAAUGGUAAAAAUCAUCAUCAAUUUUAUGUUUUGAACUCCUUAAUCUGUAAUGAAUUUUAAUUUUCCUUCUGUCUUGCGUAAUUAAUUUAAUUAUUACACACAUUAAGAUCAAGGUAACAUUACUCUUUGUUUUCAAUGUUCUUCACUCAAAAUUGUUCAAGACAGUAAUAGUAAUGGACAUAAAAUUACAGAUACGGCAAUUGCUUACUAAUCUGAUUUAAAUUCUUGUGUGCAGUACUACAAUUAUGAAGUGAAGAUGAUAAUUUUUUAUCAUAAUAGAUGUAGUCAACAAUGUGACAGUAUAACAAAGUAUUGUUAAUAAAUAUUAAUUUUCUUCGUUAUUUAUCAUGACAUUUCUCAAUGUGUACUAUGAGUUUAUAUCUCAAUUUUAUAAGUGAAUAAUUUUUUAGUUCUUAAAAUAGACAUUUAAUUAAUAAGACACCUUGGUUUGAUUCAUAUACGCAUAUUCUGAUGCUUACCAAAAAAAAAAAAAAAUUCUGUAUGUCUAAUUUCCUAACAUUGAUUGGCUAGUUGUUUAUGACAUUUUUGCCCAUAUAUAUAAUUCUCCUUAUAAGGAAAGAAAUCUAAUAAUAUUAUCAUCUUUAUCCUUGUUUAGUUAUGGCAUAAAAGAGUUUAAUUGUGGUAGUUAGUCCUAACAUUGACUGGCUAGUUGCUUUUAACAUUUUUGCCCAUAUAUAUAAUUAUCCUUGUAAGAAAAGAAAUCUAAUAAUGUUAUCAUCUUUAUCCUUAUUUAGUUAUGGCAUAAAAGAGUUUAAUCAUGGUAGUAUUGUUCUUAUAUGUCUACUCUUUUGCAUAGUUGUCUUGGUUAUUAUUUUAGUCAUCUAUUAAAAGAACCUAAUUGAAUACUAUUUAUUUACGUUAAGAUUCUCUGGCUAUUAAUUUUCUCUUAUUUGCUUGCUUUCUCUCUCUCUCUCUCUCUCUUUCAAAUUUCCAUAUUUAGAGAUACUUAAUUAGUACAUACGUGUAGUAUUAUUUUCGUAUGCAAUACCUGAUUUAGGAAUGUUUUGUUAUUUAUGUCCCUUCAAAAGUUUUCAAAACAAUAAUAAUAAUGCAUGAAAAAAUAAUAAUAUUGCAAAUCUCAUAAUGAUGACUAAUCAGAGUUCAAUUCUUAGUUGCAGUAUUACACUUACAAAUUUAAAAUGUAAAAUUUUUACUAUAAUUAAUGUAGUAAAUAAUGUGGCAUUAUAACAUCUUCUCAUUGUGUCACAUGAGUUCACAAAUUAUUAUAUCUUAAUUAUAUAAUUGUAUAAUUUAAAAAGGUGAUGAUAGAGUUACAAACUCUUUAGCAAAUUUAUUUUGUACAAAGUGAUAUUAUUUAAAUUUAUUCGUUGAAUGAAAUACAGAAACAUAAAAAUAGAUCAUGUAAACUAACAAUUAUUUAGUCUAACUAAUUAAAUUAUACCACAUUAAUUUAUACAAAUUUUUUUUACUAUAUCUUAAAAAAGAAAGAAAGAAAAUCUAUAUUUUAAUUGGCUAGUUGUUUUCACCCAUAUAUAAAAUUCUCCUUGCAAGGAAAGAAAUCUAAUAUUUGUAUCAUCUUUAUCCUCAUUUAGUUUUCUUAUAAAACAAUAUAACUGUAAUAGUAGUGUUCUUAUCCCAUCUACCUUUUUGUAUAGUUGUCCUUAUCCUUCUUUGCGUUCUUUUUCAGUCCUAACAUUAAUUGGCUAGCCGUUUUUUCACAUACCGAAUCCUCCUUGUAAGGAAAGAAAAUCCGAUAAUAUUAGCAUUUUUGUCCCUAUUUAGUUCUCUCAUGAAAGAGUCUAAAUGUACUAAUAUUCUUAUCCCUUACACCCUUUUGCACAGUUGUCUUUAUCCAUUAUUUUAUGUCUUUUAGUUGUCUCUUAUAUAUUUUCCUUUUUAUGAGUUGAAUAUUUAGUUAUUUCAUUAAAGAGUUUGAACAAUAAAAUACUAAACCUGCUCAAAUAAAUUAUAUGUGUCACUCAUUUAUUGGUAUGCGAUGUUAAUUGCAAUACAAAUUAAGUUUUAAUUAUUAGGAUCGCUAGCCCUAUUAUUAUUAUUAUUAUUAUUAUUAUUUAUACGGUGUUCUAUCAUAUCUUAUGCUGGUGAUUGCCACUAGAUCAUUUCUUUAGAAUGCAUACUCAAGUUGUAAUACCGGUACUGUAAAUUUAUUGAAUGACAAUAAAAUCGUUUGGAUGCAAGCUAGUUUAAUUGGUAAAAUCUCUUGAGUGAAAAACAAGAAGAGUAAUGAUAUAGUCACAAACUCUUGUACAAACUCUUGUACAAACUUAUUUUUUACAAACUGAUGUGACGUUAGUUCAUUGGUUGAAUUAAAUAUCUCUUGGUCUACAUGAUUUAUUAUAUUAUUUUAUAUUUUCAUUCAAUCAAUGAAUUAAUGUCACAGCAGUUUGUACACGAUAAGUUUGUAUAAGAGUUUGUGUUGUAUCAUCACUCUACAAAAUUUAAGAUAUGUAAUACUACUGGAGAAAAUAUUUAGCUAUUCCUAGACUAAAAAAAAAAAAUAAUAAUAAUAAUAAUAAAUGGCUACACUUCACUAUAAAUUUGCCACCUGCAAUCUCUCAAGUUGCAGUUAACAAGUAUACAUAUCUCUUUAUAAACCUAUCUUCUCCCCUUUCCUUUUCUUACCGUUCCAAAGCUUUUGCCAAACAAACCAGAUGAACGAUAUGCUCUUCAAAAUACUUAAAAAUCAGUGAAAGCUAUUGAAUGGAGAGUCUAUUUGAAUUAUUCAAAUACUUCACCGCGUUUCAUAUUGAUUAUGAAACAAAAGUGUGGCCUCUUCUUAUUAGUAUAGAAGAGAGAUCAAGAUAUUUGAAUUACGUCGGAUUAGCGAUUUACCAGAAUGUUUCUGUUGAAGCUACGCAUCGGUAUUUCU